CUCUUUUUCUGAAUCUGUCCAUCAGAGACAAUAAAAUAUAUCUCAUUUCAAUACAGUAUUUGUGCCUUCAGAGUGCUGUGGAAUAUAUUUUCCUGGAAAAUGAUUGUCUAUUGCAGACUUGCCAUUUUUAUUCUGUCUGCAAGCAGGUAAAAAAACCAGCAUGGGCUGUGUCUACUUUAGCAACUCGCUUGGAGUAAAAGGAGCAGGCUGAUGGCUGUAAGAAGCUGUGCUGAGGACCUUUGCACCCCUGGCACACUCUCACACAGGCUGCUUUGGGUCGGGUAGGAACUGGCCCAGAACCACUACACAUUUUGGAACUCCGUGGGGCAAAGCCCUCACACCAGACACCGCAUCCCCAGCCAUAGGACCGCUGGGGAGCCACACGCUCUGCUUGGAUCCGCCUCAUGCAGGUCUGUUUCACACCAGGCUCCAAUGUCCUCACAGGUGGAAGCCAGCUAACUUUUCUCACUGCUGCUGUCUGUGACAGACACCGGUGUACUGUUUCUGAUCCUGCUCCUUGCUGACACUGGAACUUGCAAUGGUGGUGCUGUGGGGGAGGAAUGGUGGAUUCACCCUGCAGCCACAGCAGCAGUGCAAGACAAACACCUCAGCAUAAUGAAAAACAGGCAUCCAUAACUGCAACAAACAUGAAGAGACUUAAAACAAAAGGCCCAGAUGAAGAGGACUUCAUUUACAUCUACCACAAACGUCAUGAAACUGGGGGAAGAUUCGCUAGGAAGGAUUUAUUCUGAAAUGCAGUCCAUCUGAUUAUAGACAUUUUGGCUAGGUGAGAGGUCAAUUCACUGCCUUUGAGAACAGAUAAAUAUAUAUGGAUACAUAUAUUAUAUCAAGAGGAAGAAGUGAGGAGAGACAAACUAAUGAAUCACUUAAGCCUAUGCUUAAGUUCAAGUUUGUAUCUAAAUCCUUGCGAAGUCAAUAGCUAUGCAGUUGGAGCUAUGCCAGCAUGUAGCUGAAGAUAUGACUGUCAUGAUAAUCUGAUAUGCUAUUAAGUCUGCAGGCAGAAAACAGCCAUAUAACUACUUUUAGUCUGUAAAUGUUGAGGCUUGUAGGUUUGUGGGAAACAUACUAGCACCAUUUUGAUGCUGAUGAGUGCAAAAUGAAUUAGAUCAGUAGGAAGCGGCUUGUCCAUUCAGCAAGAGCCAGUUAGUAUGAUUUACCUUUAUUUUGUUCUGAUUUUAUUAUUAGCAUAGCUCCAAUGUUUUCAAUACACAUAAGGCUGGCAUAGCACAGAUACAAAUCAAUUGAAUUUGGUUUCGUUUUGGACAGCUCACUGAAAGCAUCUGCUAAAUGCACAACAAGGUCAGCCCUCUCCAAUCCACCAUAUCACAUUAGCUGAGAAACAGAAGAGCUAAUAAUAUCUCUUUCAAAAUACAGUGCUUCCAACCCUCAUACCGUAUUCAUUUAGAUAAGCCGUUGGCCCAACCAGUGAAGGCAGGAUUUGGUUCUUCAGCUCUUCAACGUGGAUAACAUUGUGAAAGCAAAAAGAUUAUUCACCUAGAUCCCAAACCCAUUGUUCUACAUGAUGACUAACUUCAGGAAUGGAGCUAUGCUAACUUUGGGGACAAAUCAUGAAGUAAAUUAUUACCAAACUGGAGUGCCAUUGUUUCUAUUUCACAAAUUAAUUACGUUAAGCAUCAGUUAUCUUAUGUUCUACUGUAUUAUGUUAAUUAAAAUUCCUUUAUUACAUUUCUUUGUGGGUAAUUAUAAAAAAAUUAUCACCUCCAGACAACAGUCUUUAAAAAUAUCGUCUUUAUCACACUUGCUUUGCUACAUUAAUUUUGUAUCUCUUUUAAUAUCAUUGUUUAGAUUCAAUAAAAUGGAGA
Gallus gallus (chicken) is the source of this 1844-nucleotide long non-coding RNA. Lineage: Eukaryota; Metazoa; Chordata; Aves; Galliformes; Phasianidae. The record is from Ensembl.